RNAcentral lists this ribosomal RNA (255 nucleotides) under uncultured bacterium. RNAcentral describes it as "partial 16S ribosomal RNA". It matches the Rfam family "Bacterial small subunit ribosomal RNA", at positions 524 to 776 of the family's 1533-position model. The record is from RNAcentral.
UACGUAGGGGCCUAGCGUUGUCCGGAAUUAUUGGGCGUAAAGGGCUCGUAGGCGGCGUGUCGCGUCGGGGAGUGAAAGCCCGCUGCUUAACGGCGGGUUGGCUUCCGGUACGGGCAUCGCUGGAGUGCGGCAGGGGAGACUGGAAUUCCUGGUGUAGCGGUGGAAUGCGCAGAUAUCAGGAGGAACACCGGUGGCGAAGGCGGGUCUCUGGGCCGUUACUGACGCUGAGGAGCGAAAGCGUGGGGAGCGAACAGG